This 489-nucleotide ribosomal RNA is filed under the name Triticum aestivum (bread wheat). RNAcentral's name for it is "partial small subunit ribosomal RNA". The record is from RNAcentral. Lineage: Eukaryota; Viridiplantae; Streptophyta; Magnoliopsida; Poales; Poaceae.
AUGGAUGAUACCAACGUGAGUGAUCAUGCGUCCAUAUUUAAAUCAUCUGCGGCAGAAUUUGUUAGUGUAGAUGAGGAACCGGUUAUUACUGUGGAUAUUUAUGAUCCAAGCAAUUGGAAUCUUGACAAUAACUCAAGGGAUAUAUUAGUGGAAAAGGGGCCUAAGAGGGAAGAAGAAAACACUAAAUAUUCUUUGGAUGAAAAUUCAAGAUAUUUUUCAUAUACCCACUACUCAAGAAAUAUGUGCAAUGGAGAGAUGCGUGACAGGAAAUGGUUAGUUAUUUCAAAAGAUGCAAACAGAGUGUUUUCUUUGUGAUAUAAGCUUUUCAAUUCUGACAAAUGCAAGAGUGCAUUGGGGCAUGAGGGGUUUUGUGAUUGGAAGCAUAUUAAUGAGAGACCGAAAGGACAUGCAGCUAGUGUUGACCGUAUUACCAACAUAAACUCUUGGAAUGAACUGAACACUGGACUGAGAAAGCAUGAAACAAAUUGA